AAUCAACAGAGAGAAGGGUUGAGAGAGGAUUCGGGAGGUGGUCGGGAGACUUAAGGUGGCUGCCGGAGAAGAUAGGUUUAUCGGAACCCUAAGAUGAUAUCUGAUCAAAUCUCGAGAUUGGUUGGGUAGAUGAUAAAAUUGACUUGGGAUUAUAGGAAAGGAAGAUGGGGAAAAUAUUUGGUGAUGAUUUGAAGUUGUUUUGAGAAGGUAGAUGGGGUGUCGGUCGCCGGAGGUAAUUUCUGGUGACCGGAGAUCAUGG
RNAcentral lists this unclassified non-coding RNA (259 nucleotides) under Hevea brasiliensis (rubber tree). Lineage: Eukaryota; Viridiplantae; Streptophyta; Magnoliopsida; Malpighiales; Euphorbiaceae. The record is from RNAcentral.